Molecule: ribosomal RNA, 385 nt
Filed under: uncultured bacterium
Lineage: Bacteria
Description: bacterial SSU rRNA
Rfam family: Bacterial small subunit ribosomal RNA
Source: RNAcentral
AAUGGGGGAAACCCUGACGCAGCAACGCCGCGUGAGUGAAGAAGGUCUUCGGAUUUUAAAGCUCUGUCUUCUCUGACGAUGAUGACGGUAAGAGAGGAGGAAGCCACGGCUAACCACGUGCCAGCAGCCGCGGUAAUACGUAGGUGGCGAGCGUUGUCCGGAUUUACUGGGCGUAAAGGACGCGUAGGCGGAUAUAUAAGUGGGAUGUGAAAUACCCGGGCUUAACUUGGGUGCUGCAUUCCAAACUGUAUAUCUAGAGUGCAGGAGAGGAAAGUGGAAUUCCUAGUGUAGCGGUGAAAUGCGUAGAGAUUAGGAAGAACACCAGUGGCGAAGGCGACUUUCUGGACUGUAACUGACGCUGAGGCAUGAAAGCGUGGGGAGUAAA